UGGGCAACCUGCCCCAGACACAGGGAUAACCCCGGGAAACCGGGGCUAAUACCGGAUACUCCGGUCGAACCGCAUGGCUCGAUCGGGAAAGCUCCGACGGUCUGGGAUGGGCCCGCGGCCUAUCAGCUUGUUGGUGGGGUCAUGGCUCACCAAGGCGACGACGGGUAGCUGGUCUGAGAGGACGACCAGCCACACUGGAACUGAGACACGGCCCAGACUCCUACGGGAG
This 229-nucleotide ribosomal RNA is filed under the name uncultured bacterium. Its description in RNAcentral is "partial 16S ribosomal RNA". It matches the Rfam family "Bacterial small subunit ribosomal RNA", at positions 118 to 347 of the family's 1533-position model. The record is from RNAcentral.